Molecule: long non-coding RNA, 1594 nt
Organism: Paramisgurnus dabryanus
Lineage: Eukaryota; Metazoa; Chordata; Actinopteri; Cypriniformes; Cobitidae
Source: RefSeq, a predicted model, not a curated record
ACACACUAAUAUUAAACAGAAAAACAACAUAAAUCAGUGUUAAACACAAACAAAUUUUAGGUAAAUUAAAUAAGGUUUUCAUUUUCAAUCAAUAUAAAAGAAAUAAACGCAAUAAAAAACAAUGUCAGUGACGUAAUAAAUAUGUGUAAAUUUACACGCAUCAUUUAUUAAGCAUUAUAAAAAAAUCCAGCAAUAUGAUUAAACUUUGGUUAUUUGUUAUUAUCCCUGCAUUCAAAUGGUUGCAGGUUGGAGCAGGAAGUUAACCCUUCUGUCGCGCAAGCGCGAACAUAGACAGUGGUCGCGAGGCCAUUCGUACGUCACGUGAGCGCCAUUUUCAUGAUAUGACCGUUUUUCCUCAGGCACACUUCAACAUUUUCUUCGCAUUUAACAUCAAUAUUAACAUGUAAAUAAUAUAAUUCGUAAACAUAACGUUUAUGUUAAUUUAUAAUAUGUUUUUUUUUUUAUUAUUGUUGGCUUUAAGUUAAUUUGUCUGUCAGACUCAGUUUGUUCGUGUUGUAACCUGUUAACAGUAGACCAAAGGUAUGAUGAUCAAUUAUAAAUGCAAUAUGGUUGAAAGGUCAGUAAACAAACAACAAAAAGGUAAUUUCUUAAUAGAAUGUCUAUACAUUUUUUGCUUUUGUUACAUAUUUCAUACAUCAAAAUCAUUAAACGUUAAUAAUUAUGUAUUCCAACUUGUUGCAGCUUGACAAAAAUGUAGCUUGAAGGAGAAGGGACAGCUGAGUAACAAAGUCCUGGUAUGCAGACGACGAUACUAUUACACUGACAAGAGUGUAAUGAUGAUGGAGACACAAGCCAGAGAAAGGGGGGACCAAACACCAGGCCAGAAUUCUGCAUGAGUCAGAUCCAGUGGGUGCAGAUCAUCAUACAGAUGGUUCAAGUGUGGAUCCACCUAAUAUUCAAGAUUUUCUGUCCUGGGACACUCGGCUAACCAUCAAGAAAGAACACACUCCAGUGGGCAUCCUUUAUCCAUCCAGACCCUCAUACAGAUGUUGGAGCUUUGAUUCACCUAAAGUACCAUGCAAGAGCACUCAUUUUCCCUCUUGAGACCAUGGUGUGACCUGCAAGGUCGAAUGGAGACUGUAAGCGAGACAAUCUUGGAGUCACCUGCAUUGACUGGUCCAGUUGUUAGUCCAAUUACAGAUGGAGAUUAUAGAAGAGGAUGAUGUCUUUUCUCCAACAUCUUUCUAGACUGAUAAAAGAUCUAGACAGGCUUGAACAAAAGUUAACAGAGGGGCUUAUAUAGAGAAUGGUGAGCAGCUACACAUAAAAGAAGAACAUGGAGAAUCUGCCCAGAGGUGUUAACCAGCAAUGCAGCUAUACAACUAAAGUGAUGCAGGCGGAAACAAUGUGUAAUGCAGCUGCUGCAGAUGAAGAAUCCGUCCGUCUACCACUGAAGGAGACGCGGAAAAUCGGGAAAAGAUGUUCUUUGCCCGAGGAAGCAUUUGAUUAAUUUAAAGAUAUUGUGUUUCUUUGUAUGUUAUAGAAAAACGUUGCUUUUUUGCAUACACUCGUGUAAAUAUGCAUCUUAUGAAUGUUUUCCUUUGUCUAAUUUUAAUAAAUUUUACGCAAUCAA